This 529-nucleotide long non-coding RNA is filed under the name Homo sapiens (human). Its description in RNAcentral is "HSALNT0389397". The record is from RNAcentral. Lineage: Eukaryota; Metazoa; Chordata; Mammalia; Primates; Hominidae.
CUGAUCACCUUGGCAGAGGCUGAGAGACCAGCUCCUAGACCCUGCUCUGCCUCAAGCAGAUCUGAGGCUAUUGCCUUGUUCCUUCUGAGCCCCUGAGUCUUUGUCUGGAAGAGACUGUGGAAAGCAGUCCUUCUUUCUCAGCCACCUUCACCCCUGGAAUCUAUGUCAAGGUGUGUAUUCCCAACAGCAGUAUGCCUGCCCUGAAGUCUUAAUGAGAAUGAGGAGCCCUGCAGCAGCUAGAAGGUGCAGCCGCUAGCCAUGCAUGAAGUUAAUUUAGCUUCUGUAAAUGUCUGGCGGCUUAGGUAGCAAGAGACAGGCCUGGCCUGCAUAGAUGAUCCGUGCUCUGCCUUGGAAAUGAUGGAGGAGAAACAGCUCUCCCAAACCGAUGAGUUUCAUUCCUAAAGUGACUGCACCAUAACCUGGGGAGACUGGGCUUGUUUUCAUCUUAAGCUGAAAAGGUUUCCAAAAACAAUCAUUUCAUUGUUUUUCUACUCACUGCUAACUCAAUAAAAGUGGUUCUUUUAAUUAA